ACAAGGCCAGUCUUCAACAGCCCCACCAUGAAGCAGCAGAUAAAUAGGAAACAUAGUUCAAUGCAUUCUGCUUGCUGUGUGAAAAAACAGGAUGCACGCCACUGGACUAAGCUUCAAAAGGUGAAGCAACAUAUUCUAAUGCUGGGAGCCUGGAAAAUAAAAGGAAGCAAGAGAGAGAAAAAUGCACUCAAAAUUGUCUGCCUUUGGGGACUCAACUGGUAAUAUUUUGUGAUAUAUGUGUGUAUACACACACACAUACACAUUAGGAAAAUAAUGACAUGAUAUAUCUGUAGAAAUA
This 298-nucleotide long non-coding RNA is filed under the name Homo sapiens (human). RNAcentral's name for it is "HSALNT0053252". The record is from RNAcentral. Lineage: Eukaryota; Metazoa; Chordata; Mammalia; Primates; Hominidae.